This 206-nucleotide ribosomal RNA is filed under the name uncultured bacterium. Its description in RNAcentral is "partial 16S ribosomal RNA". It matches the Rfam family "Bacterial small subunit ribosomal RNA", at positions 1293 to 1500 of the family's 1533-position model. The record is from RNAcentral.
UCGGAUUGCAGGCUGCAACCCGCCUGCAUGAAGUUGGAAUCGCUAGUAAUCGCGGAUCAGCAUGCCGCGGUGAAUACGUUCCCGGGCCUUGUACACACCGCCCGUCACACCAUGAGAGUCGGGACACCCGAAGUCCGUAGUCUAACCGCAAGGGGACGCGGCCGAAGGUGGAUUCGAUAAUUGGGGUGAAGUCGUAACAAGGUAUC